AAAAGAAUCUUUCUAGAAUCUAAUUAAGAAGCUAGAAAUUGUUACGAAAGUUUGUUGAAUUUUUUUAAAUAUUGCACACGGUUUGAAACGUGGAUUUAUUCGGCUUUC
Long non-coding RNA from Rhagoletis zephyria (snowberry fruit fly), 108 nucleotides. RefSeq lists it as uncharacterized. Lineage: Eukaryota; Metazoa; Arthropoda; Insecta; Diptera; Tephritidae. The record is from RefSeq and is a predicted model, not a curated record.